This 253-nucleotide ribosomal RNA is filed under the name uncultured bacterium. RNAcentral describes it as "partial 16S ribosomal RNA". It matches the Rfam family "Bacterial small subunit ribosomal RNA", at positions 524 to 776 of the family's 1533-position model. The record is from RNAcentral.
UACGAAGGGGGCUAGCGUUGCUCGGAAUCACUGGGCGUAAAGCGCACGUAGGCGGACUCUUAAGUCAGGGGUGAAAUCCUGGAGCUCAACUCCAGAACUGCCUUCGAUACUGAAGAGCUUGAGUCCGGGAGAGGUGAGUGGAACUGCGAGUGUAGAGGUGAAAUUCGUAGAUAUUCGCAAGAACACCAGUGGCGAAGGCGGCUCACUGGCCCGGUACUGACGCUGAGGUGCGAAAGUGUGGGGAGCAAACAGG